Molecule: long non-coding RNA, 1147 nt
Organism: Manihot esculenta (cassava)
Lineage: Eukaryota; Viridiplantae; Streptophyta; Magnoliopsida; Malpighiales; Euphorbiaceae
Exons: 2
Source: RefSeq, a predicted model, not a curated record
AUAGACUACAGAGGGAGAAUUGAAAGCUCUCUAUAAAGAGUAGAAAUAGAAAGAGAAAGAGAAAAAGGAAAGAGAAUAGUGCAGGAGGUGGAUCGGUGCCACCAUAGGUGUUGAUCAACGUUUUUAUAGUUCUUGUGUUCCUUUUGGUUUCUCUUCUUUUGUUUUAGUUUUUUUUCCCCUUGCUUUCGGGCAAGGGAAUCAUUUUCAUUCUUCCCCUCACUAAGGGAGAAUAAUGAAAUUUUGGUGUGGUUUUAUUUUUAUUUUGUUCCUUUUGCAGAUUUAUGGUGCUCAGCGAUGAGGGGCUUAAUUUCUUGAUCUAUUUGUGCAUGAGGUUCAAUGGCUUCUACUUUACUUUUCCGGGAGGUUUCUAACUUCAUGGUGUUUGCACCUCAGGAUCGCCUUAUUAAAUCUAGUGGGUUAUGCUCCCAUAGGCCGAUGAUCGGCUGAUGUUUGCUUCGCCAUCUCCUUUGGUUUCUUGAUUUGCUAGAGUUGCUCUAUUAUCUUUCUUCGAUUUUUAGAUCUUGGGCUUUUGGUGAUGCGAUGGAGACGAGAGUCGAGAUACAUUAUUGUUCAGUGUUACGUGAUAAAUAAAAGGUCAGACGACCAUUCUAGAAGUCGGGUGGCCACCCAAGGUCAGAUGAAAGUCGAACAGGUAGAAAUGACCAUUCCUAAGGUUAGACAGAUCGAAUGACUAUUCCAGAAUUUCAAAUCAGACGACCACCUGAAGACAGACGACCAGCUUAGAAGACUAGGUUGGACGACCACUCCAAUAGACCUGGUUGGACGAUCAGCCAAAGAUAGGCGACCAGGUCAGAAGAUCAGGUUGGACGACCACUCCAAUAGACCAGAUCGGACUACCACUCCAAGAUGACCAAGUCGGACAACUAUUCUAAAAUGACUGGAUUAGAAUCAAUGGACGACCAGACGAUCAUUCCAAGAUGACCAGAUCGGAUAACUAUUCUAAAAUGAACGGAUUGAAAUCGGUCAGAUAUUCUAGAAUUUUAUCUCUUCUUCUCUCUCUGAACUCACAUUUUUUUGUUGUAGCAACAGCUGUACAUUAUGAUACAUACUUCCUUCUAGAAUACUCGAUAGAACUGUAUAUAAACACAUUUUACUCAAAUAAAAUAAUCAAGCUUGUUUUGCCUUA